UCUCAUCUCUCUCCCACGACGUGUGCACCGCCGCCAGGUCCGUUCUCAUCUGGUUAAUCCCGACGGGCAUAUUUUCUUUCUGCUCUACCUCAGGAGACCUCCUCCCCUGAGCGCUCCCCUCCCUCAGGAGACCUCCUCCCCGACCUCUCGUUUUCUCUACUGACGGUCGACCUGGUGGUGUACCGCCGCCGUCGCGGCGCUGAAACCGGCGAGAUCCUGCGUCCCCAUCGUGACCCGGAUUCCCUAUGCCACCAGUACGCCGGACACCUCAAGAUUCGCAUGUGAAAGGAGGUGCAUGGGAGAAAAGAUGCCAGAGUUGCGUAGUGGAGUGUGAUAAUAUAUUCAAGUCAAGGAAAGUUGUGGUGACCAACACGAUUAUCCAUCUCGUCCAGCGGGGACGCUGCAAGAAUCAUGGCCCCCAUGUGUGCUAUUGUCCAACACAGCCGCUGCCCUUUCACACUACCUCCACGCCGGUUGUGUUUUCCCUACAAGUACAGCUCGCUUCUCUCCUGCAAUAUGACUAGGCUGGAGAUGGGUGUCAUGGCUUCAGAGGCGUCAACAUUGACUGCAGAUACAUUCUGAAAAUUGAAUUGUGUGAGAUUCUUAGUAUAUGCAAUUCUGUAAAUUGUAUUUGUAUGUAUGUGAAGGUCUUUUCAAAAUGGAGCAGAAAGAAAAGAACAUAGCUUUUGGUUUAGCUUAGUAGAGAAAGACUGAAACACAUUUCAUUUAUAUCACGGGAAUGGAUGCCUUAGUGUCUGCAUUUUAUUC
Triticum dicoccoides is the source of this 768-nucleotide long non-coding RNA. RefSeq lists it as uncharacterized. The record is from RefSeq and is a predicted model, not a curated record. Lineage: Eukaryota; Viridiplantae; Streptophyta; Magnoliopsida; Poales; Poaceae. The transcript has 2 exons.